This 84-nucleotide non-coding RNA is filed under the name unclassified sequences. RNAcentral's name for it is "freshwater-2 RNA". It matches the Rfam family "freshwater-2 RNA". Rfam says of the family: Aquatic, esp. fresh water. No recognized genes The record is from RNAcentral.
ACUUGCAAUAAAGCAGGUUUAUGGAGCAACACUUCGUAGCGAAUAGAACUCGCAUUGGACUACUAUUAUAGGAGAAAUCAAAUG